This 45-nucleotide non-coding RNA is filed under the name Schistosoma mansoni. Lineage: Eukaryota; Metazoa; Platyhelminthes; Trematoda; Strigeidida; Schistosomatidae. The record is from RNAcentral.
AUCCAGCUGACGUGUCUUAAAUAGGACGAAACUUGCGUCCUGAAU